UUAGAGUUUGAUCCUGGCUCAGGAUGAACGCUAGCGAUAGGCCUAACACAUGCAAGUCGAGGGGCAGCACAUGACGUAGCAAUACAGAUGGUGGCGACCGGCGCACGGGUGAGUAACACGUAUGCAACCUACCUUCCACAGGAGGAUAACCCGUUGAAAGACGGGCUAAUACUCCAUAACACAGGGGUCCCGCAUGGGAAUAUUUGUUAAAGAUUUUUUCGGUAGAAGAUGGGCAUGCGUUCCAUUAGCUAGUUGGUUGAGGUAACGGCUCACCAAGGCAAUGAUGGAUAGGGGUUCUGAGAGGAAGGUCCCCCACAUUGGAACUGCGACACGGUCCAAACUCCUACGGGAGGCAGCAGUGAGGAAUAUUGGUCAAUGGGCGAAAGCCUGAACCAGCUAUGUAGCGUGAAGGAUGACUGCCCUAUGGGUUGUAAACUUCUUUUGUUCGGGAAUAGCAGACUUCACUUGUGGAGUUUUGCAUGUACCGUUCGAAUAAGGAUCGGCUAACUCCGUGCCAGCAGCCGCGGUAAUACGGAGGAUCCUAGCGUUAUUCGGAUUUAUUGGGUUUAAAGGGAGCGUAGGCGGGGGGUCAAGUCAGCUGUGAAAUACGUACGCUUAACGUCCGUCUUGCAGUUGAAACUGGUUUUCUUGAGUGCGUAUGAGGCAGGCGGAAUUCGUGGUGUAGCGGUGAAAUGCUUAGAUAUCACGAGGAACUCCUAUUGCGAAGGCAGCUUGCUGGUCCGCUACUGACGCUGAUGCUCGAAGGUGCGGGUAUCGAACAGGAUUAGAUACCCUGGUAGUCCGCACAGUAAACUAUGGACACUCGCUGUCGGCGAUAUACUGUCGGUGGCUAAGCGAAAGCAUUAAGUAUCCCGCCUGGGGAGUACGAUCGCAAGGUUGAAACUCAAAGGAAUUGACGGGGGCCCGCACAAGCAGCGGAGCAUGUGGUUUAAUUCGAAGCAACGCGAAGAACCUUACCUAGACUUGACAUCUCCUGCAUUACUCUUAAUCGAGGAAGUCCUUUCGGGGACAGGAUGACAGGUGGUGCAUGGUUGUCGUCAGCUCGUGUCGUGAGAUGUUGGGUUAAGUCCCGCAACGAGCGCAACCCUUAUUGUUAGUUGCCAUCAUUAAGUUGGGCACUCUAGCGAGACUGCCCGGGUUAACCGGGAGGAAGGUGGGGAUGACGUCAAAUCAUCAUGCCCCUUAUGUCUAGGGCUACACACGUGCUACAAUGGUCGGUACAAUAAGACGCAAGCCCGCGAGGGGGAGCAAAACUGGAAAACCGAUCUCAGUUCGGAUUGUAGGCUGAAACUCGCCUACAUGAAGCUGGAGUUGCUAGUAAUCGCGAAUCAGCAUGUCGCGGUGAAUACGUUCCCGGGCCUUGCACACACCGCCCGUCAAG
RNAcentral lists this ribosomal RNA (1402 nucleotides) under uncultured bacterium. RNAcentral describes it as "partial 16S ribosomal RNA". It matches the Rfam family "Bacterial small subunit ribosomal RNA". The record is from RNAcentral.